Non-coding RNA from Schistosoma rodhaini, 118 nucleotides. The record is from Rfam. NCBI's taxonomy places the organism in Eukaryota, Metazoa, Platyhelminthes, Trematoda, Strigeidida, Schistosomatidae.
UAACUCUAGUGUCUCCUCAUUCUCAGAUAAAUCUUCCCUCUUUUACUAAAGAUUUCCGUGGGGAGACACAAUACAAUGAGUUUCAUCUCAUUUUUCCAACUCUAUGUUCGCACGGAGU